AUGAAUUGCCUAAGUUGGAACUGCCGGGGAGGGGGGAACACCCGGACAGUUUGAGAGUUAGCAACGCUUUGUAAGUCGCAUUCCUCCAUGCUUGUUUUUCUGUGUGAAACUAGACAGAAGGAGGAGAAGAUGAAGAGGAUCCGAGCCAAAUUGGGUUUUAAGGGAUUUUGUGGUGUGGACAGCAAUGGUAUGAGUGGAGGUUUGGCGUUAUAUUGGAGGGAAGAGUGUGAGGUAGAUAUUUGGACAAAGAUGAUAUAUUUAUUGAUGCAGUUAUUAGAGUUCGAGAAGGAGCUGCCCAAUGGAGAGCCACUUUUGUGUACGGGGAGCCGAGGGUGGAGAACAGACACCUAA
Molecule: ribosomal RNA, 351 nt
Filed under: Triticum aestivum (bread wheat)
Lineage: Eukaryota; Viridiplantae; Streptophyta; Magnoliopsida; Poales; Poaceae
Description: partial small subunit ribosomal RNA
Source: RNAcentral